ACAGUGCAGUCUACGCUGUAGGGCCGUCUGCUGAUCUGCGUCCGUACGGCACGGGGCGCGAGAGACGAGAGGA
This 73-nucleotide non-coding RNA is filed under the name Olegusella massiliensis. Its description in RNAcentral is "aspS RNA". It matches the Rfam family "aspS RNA". Lineage: Bacteria; Bacillati; Actinomycetota; Coriobacteriia; Coriobacteriales; Coriobacteriaceae. The record is from RNAcentral.